Molecule: ribosomal RNA, 195 nt
Filed under: uncultured Halomonas sp.
Lineage: Bacteria; Pseudomonadati; Pseudomonadota; Gammaproteobacteria; Oceanospirillales; Halomonadaceae
Description: partial 16S ribosomal RNA
Rfam family: Bacterial small subunit ribosomal RNA
Source: RNAcentral
UGGCCUACGGGAGGCAGCAGUGGGGAAUAUUGGACAAUGGGGGCAACCCUGAUCCAGCCAUGCCGCGUGUGUGAAGAAGGCUUUCGGGUUGUAAAGCACUUUCAGUGGGGAAGAAGGCUUUCGGGUUAAUACCCCGGAAGAAGGACAUCACCCACAGAAGAAGCACCGGCUAACUCCGUGCCAGCAGCCGCGGUA